Molecule: unclassified non-coding RNA, 1207 nt
Filed under: Hevea brasiliensis (rubber tree)
Lineage: Eukaryota; Viridiplantae; Streptophyta; Magnoliopsida; Malpighiales; Euphorbiaceae
Source: RNAcentral
UUUUUUUUUUGACAAAUAAAAAUCUAUUUUAUUGCCAAUCCACAUCUACAUUUCACACUUGUAGUAAAACGCAGGGUUAACCCUACAAAACAAGCCGAAAACGCACUCCUUUAAGUAUGAGAUGCAUGGGCCAGCCCCAAAUGUUUAUCCUCCCCACAGAAAUGGGCCACGAUAACGCCCACAUCCUCCAAACCAACACCAAUGCAGAGAGGGUUGGCCGGAGUUCUAACAGAAUCACCCAUAUUUCUCUCGUCAAUGGAAUUUCGGACCAUCACAUUAGGCCCGUCCCUGCACUUGCCCAUACACUUGCAGCCGACGACUGCCCCCUCUACACCCACGACCCUCUCUAAUUCCUCCAACAAUGCCGCGCCCCCAGCCUUCUUGCACUUGUUACCCAUGCAUACCUCAAUUCUCUUUGCUGAGCUAUUCCUGUCAUCGCAACAAACACUUGGCUGAACGCACCAUUCUUUUUCAAGAUUUGGUGACGCGCCAAUUGCUUUCAAUUUUUGGGCUGGCAAGAUCGUGAGGGUUGAAGUUACUUCUUGCUGCUGGAAAUCAGCUAGCAUCGGUUGUGCAACCGGAAAAGCUUCACUUCUCAAGUGGCUCAUGUCGAUCAACUCGCCACAUUCGCUGUCACUGGAUUCAGAUGUGGAUGAUUCACAAUCAAUCCUUUUGGCUUUAAGCUUCGCCUUCUCUUCUUUCUUCUUCCUCUUCAAUUCCUUCUCCUUUGCUCUCAACUCUUGCAGCUGUUUCAUUAAUCCUUGUGCUGCUUCCGAAAGCAACUCGGCCUGACCUUGAUCUACCAAAGCAUCAUCAACACCCAGCCGAGAAAACACGGACAAGUCCUUAUAUAAGCCUUUUAGUAAUUUCAACUUUUUCUUAACAGAUUUUUUCUCCAUCUUAUUCCCUCCUCCAUGGUAAUGCUGCAGAUGCCCGUUAUCUAUAAACUCUAAAGAAUUCAAAACCCUACAUGCUUUUCUGGGUUUCAAAGAAACACCGCAAAAGGAUGGCCUUGAAGAAGAUUGGGCAUUACAAGUUCCAACGUCGGCACCGAAGGGAAAGCAGGAUGGCUGGCGUAAAGCGAAGCCGGAGACCUCCAUGCCUGCCUGGAAUCUCUCUGGGUAUGAGUAAGCGACACGAAUUGGAUCCUUCGUAAAAUCUUUAGGAGUACGAUAUCUUGCGCUUUCUUUUUAAUUCACACGAGGAG